RNAcentral lists this ribosomal RNA (387 nucleotides) under uncultured bacterium. Its description in RNAcentral is "bacterial SSU rRNA". It matches the Rfam family "Bacterial small subunit ribosomal RNA", at positions 29 to 412 of the family's 1533-position model. The record is from RNAcentral.
AUUGAACGCUGGCGGCGUGCUUAACACAUGCAAGUCGAUCGGUAACGAAGGUGUAGCAAUACAUGCUGACGAGAGGCGGACGGGUGAGUAAUGCUUGGGAAUCUGCCUAUUAGUGGGGGACGAACCCGGGGAAACGUCGGGCUAAUACCGCAUACGCUCUACGGAGGAAAGCCGGGGACCGCAAGGCCUGGCGCUAAUAGAUGAGCCCAAGUCGGAUUAGCUAGUUGGUAGGGUAACGGCCACCAAGGCGACAAUCCGUAGCUGGUCUGAGAGGACGACCAGCCACACCGGAACUGAGACACGGUCCGGACUCCUACGGGAGGCAGCAGUGGGGAAUAUUGGACAAUGGGGGCAACCCUGAUCCAGCGACGCCGCGUGGGUGAAGAA